UAGUAUAUUACAAAAGCUGUAGACUCUACGUGGCCUACUCAGCCACCAACUCCACUCAACAUAUAUCUAUGAGACCUACGUACUAGCCAACUACGCCACCACCUUUGCUCCCCACUUUUCCCCCACCACCAAGUGCACCACUACUCUUUUUCUCACCAACUCCACUCAAAUAUUUAUUUGUUUGACACCAAAUAAGUGGGCUGUCACCUUUUCCACCGAAAGCCAUGCCUUUCACCUGUCAAUCAGCCAACAACUCUUCCCAUAUAAUCUCAUUAUCAGCCAGCAACUUCCUCAUAUUUUCUUUCCUCGUGCGCUGUCAUUCAAAGGGGAGGAAUUGAUUCGGCUGCUGUCAAGCUGGAAGAGUAUUUCCCCACUGUAUUCAACAACGCCAACCAAAAGAACAAACAUUCGCAAGGUAUUCAUUAUUUCAGUUUAUUCAAGUUCCGGCUAUAUGCAGCAUAUGCCCAGUUUUAGAAAUGCAUAGUAUGAGAGGAGAAGCAUGACCAUAUUAUCGACAUAGAACUCACUAGCAAACCAACAGAUUAUAUGAACUCAUUUUUAUGAGAAACAUAGAAUGCCAGUUCAUGCCAAUAAAUAAAUAAAAAAAAAAACUAAUAUGCAUAAAUGGCUAACCUUAGCAUAACUAUAUUUUACUGCUAGAUAAAUUCACUAACUGAGAAUCAAUGAGAAAAACCACCAAAAAUCCUAUCUUGCCCAAGCGGAGAUAAUUACAGCAAGAUAGAGAGUGAUACUUUCCUCUUAUGCUUAGAACCGAGCCAUUUGGGGCUCGGCUUAAGACGAGUUCAGCCGAGAGUCGCGACGGAGAGGAGGAGGCCGGAGCAGCGCCGCUCCCAGACGACAGCAGCCCGUCGGAUUUCGGACGAGGAUGCGGCCGCAGCAGCGACCUGGGUUUGACGAUUAGGGCUCUGCGAUGAAGGGAAAGGAGGCGGCACGAUCAACAAUUGCUCGCCGGUGGUUGGGACGGCCAGAGCAGCGGCA
RNAcentral lists this long non-coding RNA (999 nucleotides) under Salvia miltiorrhiza (redroot sage). Its description in RNAcentral is "long non-coding RNA (SMIL_LNC000213)". Lineage: Eukaryota; Viridiplantae; Streptophyta; Magnoliopsida; Lamiales; Lamiaceae. The record is from RNAcentral.